CGCAUCACCUGGCUCUCCCCGGGCCCACCAGCAUCCCUUGGACCCCAGGCCCUUGAUUCGGGGGUCCUGGG
This 71-nucleotide long non-coding RNA is filed under the name Capra hircus (goat). RNAcentral's name for it is "lncRNA (ENSCHIG00010019542.1)". Lineage: Eukaryota; Metazoa; Chordata; Mammalia; Artiodactyla; Bovidae. The record is from RNAcentral.